Molecule: long non-coding RNA, 1235 nt
Organism: Musa acuminata AAA Group (dessert banana)
Lineage: Eukaryota; Viridiplantae; Streptophyta; Magnoliopsida; Zingiberales; Musaceae
Exons: 2
Source: RefSeq, a predicted model, not a curated record
GCCUUGUGGUAGAACUGCAGCGCCAUCGACUCGGGGUGGCGGUAGCUCUGGAGCGGGGGGCGCCUCGCAGAAGGGUUCACCGAAGAGGCCGUCUGGGUCACCGGAGGCGAGCUGCCCUUCGAAGAGGAGAAAGGUCUUGGCCCAGAAGGAGCCCGCGGGGUCAACCGCUUGUGGGGGCACCGUGCUGGGGUUGCCCGAGGUCGUUCCUCAAGGCAGUGGCGUGGAGCGCGCACAAGGAAAAGGGAUGCCCGGGACAUCGGGCGGUGAUUCCUUCCGGAGGGCGCCUGUGCGUCCGGCAUCGAUGCGCUAGCUGUGACGUGCCUGGGCUCGGACCGAAGGCGGAGAUUUUGAGGCCCUGGUAAUGGCCGACCUCCCAGCUGGGGAGCCGGGAGCAGCUUACACCCCUCGGUGGCCGUCUCUCAAGACCAACAGUCGCCUCUGGGGCGACGGCCCGACCGCUCGGGAGUUCCUCCGGGGGGCACUGCACCCGACCAUGGCGAAAGAACUUUACUGCACCCCUACGGAAGCGCUGGUGGACCGGACGACCAAGUCAUUCGUUUGGGGCCACCAUUAUACCAUGGCGCUGAUUGAUCGGGCUCUCGACGCCGGCCGGGUGAUCGAGCGCUAGUCGGCUACUCAUGCCUCCCAACAGUUGGAGAUCCAGGAGUUGAAGACUCUUGGUGGCCCGGCAGCUGUCGCUGCGGUCGAGGAGCAUGCCUCCGCUCUUGACACAGAGGUGACGCAUUUGAAGGCCGAGCUGGAGGAGAGCCAAGCUCGCAUCCACACCUUGGACGAUGAGCUGCAGACGCUUUCGCAUGAUGUCGAGACCGCUAGAUCCAUAGCUUGGGCUGCCGAAGAGGUUCUGAAGGAGGAGCAACAGGCGCUGCCCAAGAGAAUAAAGGAGGCACUCACAGAGUACAAGUCGUCCGCUGACUUUGAGCACGGGUUGGUGAGGUUGGGACGGGUGACGUACGAGUUCGGGUACCGAGUGGCUUGUGCUCGCACUCAGGCCGAGCAUUCGGAACUGGUAUUAGAGCCGGACCCUUUCGCCGACCACCCUACGGAUUAAUCUAUGAACAUGCAGGCGAGCGUCCCCUUCGACGACGGGCCUGAGACUCCACCUCCGAGCUGACCUGUAUUUGCUUUUCUCGAUUUUGGUGGGGUUGGCCCUCGAGAUUGUUUUGCUCGAUCGCCACAUGUACUUUUUUCUUUAAUAAGAAAAUCUGAGUUUUGGA